UCCCUGGUGGCUCAGGCGGUAAAGCGUCUGCUUGCAAUGCAGGAGACCUGGGUUCGAUCCCUGGGUUGGGAA
Molecule: transfer RNA, 72 nt
Filed under: Ovis aries (sheep)
Lineage: Eukaryota; Metazoa; Chordata; Mammalia; Artiodactyla; Bovidae
Rfam family: tRNA
About the family: Transfer RNA (tRNA) molecules are approximately 80 nucleotides in length.
Source: Rfam by way of RNAcentral